AGAGUUUGAUCCUGGCUCAGGACGAACGCUGGCGGCGCGCCUAACACAUGCAAGUCGAACGGGACUAUGCAAGAUGAAGUUUUCGGAUGGAAUUUUGUAUAGUUUAGUGGCGGACGGGUGAGUAACACGUGAGCAACCUGCCUUCGAGAGGGGAAUAACGGCUGGAAACGGUCGCUAAUACCGCAUAACAUACAGGAGGGACAUCCCUUUUGUAUCAAAGAUUUAUCGCUCGAAGAUGGGCUCGCGUCCGAUUAGGUAGUUGGUGAGGUAAUGGCCCACCAAGCCGACGAUCGGUAGCCGGACUGAGAGGUUGAACGGCCACAUUGGGACUGAGACACGGCCCAGACUCCUACGGGAGGCAGCAGUGGGGGAUAUUGCACAAUGGGGGAAACCCUGAUGCAGCGACGCCGCGUGUAGGAAGACGGUCCUCUGGAUUGUAAACUACUGUCCCCAGGGACGAAGAUGACGGUACCUGGGGAGGAAGCUCCGGCUAACUACGUG
RNAcentral lists this ribosomal RNA (501 nucleotides) under uncultured Oscillospiraceae bacterium. RNAcentral's name for it is "bacterial SSU rRNA". It matches the Rfam family "Bacterial small subunit ribosomal RNA", at positions 8 to 507 of the family's 1533-position model. The record is from RNAcentral. Lineage: Bacteria; Bacillati; Bacillota; Clostridia; Eubacteriales; Oscillospiraceae.